AUAGGAUCUAGACCUGGCAUAUCUUCAUACGACCAUGCAAAAAUAUCCGGAUAUUCCCGGAGAAGUUGGAUGAUCUUCUUUUUAACCCCUUCCUCUAAAAUAGCACCGAUCUUGAUUUCUCGCUUGCUCUCCUCGGUACCUAUGUUGAUAAGCUCAAUCUCUUCCUGG
Molecule: microRNA precursor, 168 nt
Organism: Medicago truncatula (barrel medic)
Lineage: Eukaryota; Viridiplantae; Streptophyta; Magnoliopsida; Fabales; Fabaceae
Rfam family: MIR2680 microRNA precursor family
Source: Rfam